AGUGAACGCUGGCGGUAGGCCUAACACAUGCAAGUCGAACGGCAGCACAGUAAGAGCUUGCUCUUACGGGUGGCGAGUGGCGGACGGGUGAGGAAUACAUCGGAAUCUACUUUUUCGUGGGGGAUAACGUAGGGAAACUUACGCUAAUACCGCAUACGACCUACGGGUGAAAGCAGGGGAUCCUCGGACCUUGCGCGAUUGAAUGAGCCGAUGUCGGAUUAGCUAGUUGGCGGGGUAAAGGCCCACCAAGGCGACGAUCCGUAGCUGGUCUGAGAGGAUGAUCAGCCACACUGGAACUGAGACACGGUCCAGACUCCUACGGGAGGCAGCAGUGGGGAAUAUUGGACAAUGGGCGCAAGCCUGGUCCAGCCAUACCGCGUGGGUGAAGAAGGCCUUCGGGUUGUAAAGCCCUUUUGUUGGGAAAGAAAAGCAGCAGGUUAAUACCCCGCUGUUCUGACGGUACCCAAAGAAUAAGCACCGGCUAACUUCGUG
Molecule: ribosomal RNA, 492 nt
Filed under: uncultured bacterium
Lineage: Bacteria
Description: partial 16S ribosomal RNA
Rfam family: Bacterial small subunit ribosomal RNA
Source: RNAcentral